RNAcentral lists this ribosomal RNA (253 nucleotides) under uncultured bacterium. RNAcentral describes it as "partial 16S ribosomal RNA". It matches the Rfam family "Bacterial small subunit ribosomal RNA", at positions 524 to 776 of the family's 1533-position model. The record is from RNAcentral.
UACAGAGGGGGCAAGCGUUAUUCGGAAUUAUUGGGCGUAAAGGGCGCGUAGGCGGCAUCGCAAGUGGAAGGUGAAAUCCCUCGGCUUAACCGAGGAACUGCCCUCCAAACUGCUUGGCUUGAGUCCGGGAGAGGUGAGUGGAAUUCCCAGUGUAGCGGUGAAAUGCGUAGAUAUUGGGAGGAACACCAGUGGCGAAGGCGGCUCACUGGACCGGAACUGACGCUGAGGCGCGAAAGCGUGGGGAGCAAACGGG